Molecule: ribosomal RNA, 668 nt
Filed under: Schaalia dentiphila ATCC 17982
Lineage: Bacteria; Bacillati; Actinomycetota; Actinomycetes; Actinomycetales; Actinomycetaceae
Description: bacterial SSU rRNA
Rfam family: Bacterial small subunit ribosomal RNA
Source: RNAcentral
UUUAAGUGCCCCGCCUGGGAAGUACGGCCGCAAGGCUAAACUCAAAGGAAUUGACGGGGGCCCGCACAAGCGGCGGAGCAUGCGGAUUAAUUCGAUGCAACGCGAAGAACCUUUACCUAGGGCUUGACAUGCACGGCGGCACUGCAGAGAUGUGGUGGCAUUUAGUUGGUCGUGUGCAGGUGGUGCAUGGUUGUCGUCAGCUCGUGUCGUGAGAUGUUGGGUUAAGUCCCGCAACGAGCGCAACCCUUGCCCUAUGUUGCCAGCACGUGAUGGUGGGGACUCGUGGGGGACUGCCGGGGUUAACUCGGAGGAAGGUGGGGAUGACGUCAAAUCAUCAUGCCCCUUAUGUCUUGGGCUUCACGCAUGCUACAAUGGCUGGUACAGAGGGUUGCGAUACUGUGAGGUGGAGCGAAUCCCUUAAAGCCAGUCUCAGUUCGGAUUGGGGUCUGCAACUCGACCCCAUGAAGGUGGAGUCGCUAGUAAUCGCAGAUCAGCAACGCUGCGGUGAAUACGUUCUCGGGCCUUGUACACACCGCCCGUCACGUCACGAAAGUUGGUAACACCCGAAGCCCAUGGCCUAACCGCUUUGUGCGGGGGGAGUGGUCGAAGGUGGGAUUGGCGAUUGGGACGAAGUCGUAACAAGGUAGCCGUACCGGAAGGUGCGGCUG